UCAUAUGUGGCGGCUGGUCAUUGAACUUACUUAAUUGUCUCUCUCUCUCUUCUCCAGGGUCUCUCGAACACUCUCGAUCUUCUCUCUGUCGAUCUUCUCUCUCGACGAUCGCUCUCUCGAUUUUUGCACUCCGUCGUCUCCGUUGUCUCUCUCGUUCGGUCCGGCUUCUUUGUCGCGUGUCUCAGUCGGUCAUCUCUCUCAUUCGGUCCGGCUUCUCCGUCCCUUCGUCUUCUGUCUCGCUCCGUCCCUGUGUAUUCUUUGUCAAUCGGUGAUCGGUUUCACUUCCACUUCCUCCCUCCGGAUUCUCUGUCAAUCGAUGUCUCUCAGAGAUAAGUGUCUUUAUUUUGCAAAGAAAUUUAUUUUUGCGAUUUGGGUUUUUGUGAAAUUGUUGUAAUCUCAUAGUUUUGUCAGCAAAGGUUGAAUCUUUAUGAGAUGUGUUUUAGAAUUUUGUGUGUGAAUGAUCGUUGUUUAGAUCAGGUUCAUGUUUUAGAAUCUUGUGUGUGUUUGAUCCUUGUUUCAUUGUUUUAUCUGAAACACUUAUCUGAUGAUUCAAACAUGAUUGAUGAGAUUGAUGAAUGUGAUCCGUAUGAAUGUGAUCCGUAUUGUGUGUUUUUCAUAAGUAAAAAAAAAUGAUAGACCAAAAGAUUUAUGGAUAGAAUUUUCUCAUACAUUUUCCUCUGUUCUUGUGUGUGUUUGAUUCGAUAUUGUUUUUUCUCAAACAUGAUUCAUGGUUCUAAUCUCACUUUUAAAUCUUUUGCUCUCUAAUAGGUUUCAAACACAGUAGCGAGCACUUCUCUGCUUGGUGGUUCUACGAGGCUGUUUUCAAGCUACUAUAGCUUCGGGUUAGGUCCUCUCAAGCUACUCAACAAAGGUGAAACAGAGAAGACUUGUGACACAAGAAGCCAAGACUCGUGAGUUGUUUCGUGACGUAAAGCUUCCAAACAGAGAAGAAUCCAAGUUGAACUCAGUCUCGUGACUUGCUUGCGUGACCUGUGACAACAAAAAGACAAAACCAUGUAAUAGAUGUAGUAAAUAGACUGUCUCGUGACUUCACUCAGAAAACAUAUUCUUUAUAAACCUUCCCGUGUUGUAAAUAGAUGUAGUUCUUCAUAAACCUCUUCUCUCUUACAAUUUCUCUUCUCUCUUUUGUUUCUUCAUAAACCGUUUCUUUGUUUGUUAAGUUAAAGAACAACCAUUUCUCUCAAA
Molecule: long non-coding RNA, 1206 nt
Organism: Brassica napus (rape)
Lineage: Eukaryota; Viridiplantae; Streptophyta; Magnoliopsida; Brassicales; Brassicaceae
Exons: 2
Source: RefSeq, a predicted model, not a curated record